Molecule: ribosomal RNA, 638 nt
Filed under: uncultured Actinomycetes bacterium
Lineage: Bacteria; Bacillati; Actinomycetota; Actinomycetes
Description: bacterial SSU rRNA
Rfam family: Bacterial small subunit ribosomal RNA
Source: RNAcentral
GCGGCCUAUCAGCUUGUUGGUGAGGUAACGGCUCACCAAGGCAUCGACGGGUAGCUGGUCUGAGAGGACGAUCAGCCACACUGGGACUGAGACACGGCCCAGACUCCUACGGGAGGCAGCAGUAGGGAAUCUUGCGCAAUGGGCGAAAGCCUGACGCAGCAACGCCGCGUGGGGGAUGAAUGCCUUCGGGUUGUAAACCCCUUUCAGCAGGGACGAAAAUGACGGUACCUGCAGAAGAAGCUCCGGCCAACUACGUGCCAGCAGCCGCGGUAAUACGUAGGGAGCGAGCGUUGUCCGGAAUUAUUGGGCGUAAAGAGCUCGUAGGCGGUUCAGUAAGUCGGGUGUGAAAACUCAAGGCUCAACCUUGAGACGCCACUCGAUACUGCUGUGACUUGAGUCCGGUAGAGGAGUGUGGAAUUCCUGGUGUAGCGGUGAAAUGCGCAGAUAUCAGGAGGAACACCAGCGGCGAAGGCGGCACUCUGGGCCGGUACUGACGCUGAGGAGCGAAAGCAUGGGGAGCAAACAGGAUUAGAUACCCUGGUAGUCCAUGCCGUAAACGUUGGGCACUAGGUAUGGGACCAUAUCAACGGGUUCCGUGCCGUAGCUAACGCAUUAAGUGCCCCGCCUGGGGAGUACGG